Molecule: non-coding RNA, 93 nt
Organism: Mycena rosella
Lineage: Eukaryota; Fungi; Basidiomycota; Agaricomycetes; Agaricales; Mycenaceae
Source: the annotation of a GenBank genome assembly
GUCCCGGUAGCGGAUGGUCCGUACCUGCUCCCAAUUACUGGAAUAUUCGGAUCCAUUGCGCAGCAUUCGCUCGUUCGAAUCGAGCCCGGGCCG